RNAcentral lists this long non-coding RNA (908 nucleotides) under Equus caballus (horse). Its description in RNAcentral is "lncRNA (ENSECAG00000048123.1)". Lineage: Eukaryota; Metazoa; Chordata; Mammalia; Perissodactyla; Equidae. The record is from RNAcentral.
CAAGCAUCCGGACCUUCCAGCAGGGCAGUCCCUGCAGACACUCAGAACCCUCAACGUUUCAAGUGAGACUGGGCUCUGAGAAAAGCCUGCGCGGUGUAUCCCUUCCUCACCUAUUUUCCUGAGGCUUAAGCAAAUGCUUUUGAAAGUUAUUUCUAAAUAUUUCUAAGCUUGUGACUAUGAAGAUCACAAAUUGAUUUUGAAAAUAUUGUCACUCAAAGAAAAGAGGAAUAGAGGAGUAACACACGCCUUUUUUAGGAAAUAAACAUUGGCUCCUGGGUCUGAAAGGCUCCCAGGAGACGCUGAUGCCGCUGGUCUGUGACCACACUUGGAGGAGCAAAGAUUACUCUGUGCCAGUGGUGCCCCGGAAUCCGUGAUGACUCUUAGCAGCACUGGAGUGGGAUGACCAGAUGUUGCGGGCCUCCCAACACAGACGACAGGAAAUAUGGCAGGUAGAGAAGAAGUUCAAUGACCAAAUAAGGAAAUUAAUGGACGAAUCCAGAAUGUGGGAAAUUCCACAUAACUACUGAUCUAGUUUCCACAACAGUGACAAGAAGAGUGUUCUACUCUGUAUUUAAAGACUCAAGAGACAUAAAUAAAUGCGACGUGUGAUACAUUUAUAGAGUGUUACAGACUGUUUGUGUCGACCCCAAAAUUCAUACGCUGAAGCCCUUGAUCUCCAACGUGAUGGCGUUCAGAGGUGGGGUCAUAGGGAGAUACUUAGGUUUAGAUAAGGAUGUGAGGGUGGGGCCCCCAUGAUGGGAUUAGUGCCCUUAUAAGAGGAAGAGCCCAGAGCCCUCUGCCGUGAGAGCACACAGCAAGAAGGCAGGCGGCUGUCUGCAAGCCAGCAAGAGGGCCUUACUAGACACUGAAUCUGUCGGCACCUUGAUCUUGGCCACCCCAGGCUGCAG